CCCCUUGAGGGUCCUAAAGGGCCGUUGGAGACCACAACGUUGAUAGGUGGGGUGUGUAAGUGCAGUGAUGUGUUGAGCUAACCCAUACUAAUUACCCGUGAGGCUUAACCAUACAACACCCAAGAAGUGUUCUG
This 134-nucleotide ribosomal RNA is filed under the name Aeromonas salmonicida subsp. salmonicida. Its description in RNAcentral is "partial 23S ribosomal RNA". The stretch from base 1 to 112 matches the Rfam family "Bacterial large subunit ribosomal RNA", at positions 2812 to 2925 of the family's 2925-position model. Lineage: Bacteria; Pseudomonadati; Pseudomonadota; Gammaproteobacteria; Aeromonadales; Aeromonadaceae. The record is from RNAcentral.